GAGUGUGUGUGUGUGGGGGGGGGGGGGGGUGAGGCAAGGGCGGCCGGUGCGCAAAUCGGCGACACUGGCCAAGAGGCCGCAGAGAAAACAUGUUCGACCGCUAGACACGCAGGCCACCGCUGGUCCGCGCACGCGUGUGCUGCGCGCUCUUCUCCCGAUUUUUUGCGGCAUC
Molecule: non-coding RNA, 172 nt
Organism: Caenorhabditis elegans
Lineage: Eukaryota; Metazoa; Nematoda; Chromadorea; Rhabditida; Rhabditidae
Source: Ensembl